Molecule: unclassified non-coding RNA, 1566 nt
Filed under: Drosophila yakuba
Lineage: Eukaryota; Metazoa; Arthropoda; Insecta; Diptera; Drosophilidae
Description: GE14571
Source: RNAcentral
AUGUUUUCUUGCUGGACCAAAAGAUAUAUACCCAGCUCAAUAGAAGAAAAAACGACAGACAAAGUUUCAUCUAUGAGCAAAAAUAUUUCAACAGAAGUUAAAAUGGACAAAAAAGAAAUGGUUGCGCCGAUUAUAGAAAAACAUGUUCCUGAGUUUCAAGAUUUUCUGAAGCGGGUUCAGACCUUGCAAAUGUCACACAACGAUUUAGUCAAUCAACCUAAUAUCUGCAGUUCCAUGGAUAUUGAAGUCGGCGAAGAAGCUCCUACGACAUCUUAUGCCGAUAACAUAGAUAAAUGUCCCUUAUCAGUACUGCGAACAUCUGAUUGUAAUUGUGUGCCACUUGGUAUGACAAAUAUUCGUGUAACAGUUGGUAUUGAUAAAGAUUUAGAAAUGAUUCUUGAAAUGGAUCCGAGUAUUGUAGAUUUGGGGGAUAUUAGCAUUGCCGAAACUGCAGAACCGCGCAUAGUGGGCUUACCUCCACUUUCGGGUGGACCGACAUUUAAAACGGCUACUCCCACUUCACGAACACAACUAAAACUGCAACUACAACGGGAACAACAUCAACAGCAACAAAUGAUGAUACAACAACAGACACUAGACACUGCUCUGGACCCAAAAAUGCACCUAUUGUUUGGUAGUGGACAGGGACCCAUGGAAUCGGAAUUUAUUGACAGCGGUAGUACCAGUGCUUGUGGUAGUGGGUCAUCCAGCUUAGAACAAAUGUCGCAGUUAGUGCAAAUGGACAAUUUAAUUGACUCAUCAAGUGCAGUUAAGCUUAAAGUUCCUCUUCAAAGUAUCGGAGUAGAUGUGCCGCCACAAGUGCUGCAGGUCAGUACAGUGCUGGAAAACCCCACCAGGUAUCAUGUUAUCCAAAAGCAAAAGAAUCAAGUAAGGCAGUAUCUCAGCGAAUCCUUCAAGCCGUCUAUGUGGGGUUGUCAUACCAGCGAAAUAAAAUUAGCAAAUAAUUCUGCGUCAACGGGAAAUCUUCAGAGUUCAUCUUUACAGAAAGGUACUUGCGACCCUUUGGAGCGUACAGACAGAUUUGAAUGCGAAAGGUCUGUGAGUGCUAAAAGAAUUAUGCCUUCCGAUGACGCAAUGCCCAUUUCCCCAUUCGGUGGUAGCUUCGUAAGAUGUGAUGACAUAGAUCCAAAUGAGUCAACUAUAUUGGGAGGAAAUAAUCAAUGCUCUGGGGAACCAGAAAAUGCCCAUAAAACCACCCAGUUGGGAUUUGUUAAAGCUAAUUCAGGCCUAAGCUCUACGCGUUCUUCUUCAGGGAUUGUUAAUUCAAUUCGAAUUUCUAGUGCAGCAAGUUCUUUACAAUCUAAUUCAGCACCUAUUUCGCCAAGCCUAAGCUCGGUUGCUACGAGUCUUUCUGAGCUACCAUCAUUCGACAGCGAUAACCAAAUAAAAUAACCAUAUUUAUGGGCGUGUUUGUUAACGAUACAGGGCGCUUUUUUAUCAACGAAGAUUACACGUAUAAUAGCAGAUGACAUCUUUGAUGAUAUAUUGCAAAAUGACUCUUUUAACUUUGAUAAAAACUUCAACUCUGAGCUUUCAAUCAAACAG